UCCGUUGGUGAACCAGCGGAGGGAUCAUUACUGAGUUUACGCUCUAUAACCCUUUGUGAACAUACCUAUAACUGUUGCUUCGGCGGGUAGGGUCUCCGCGACCCUCCCGGCCUCCCGCCUCCGGGCGGGUCGGCGCCCGCCGGAGGAUAACCAAACUCUGAUUUAACGACGUUUCUUCUGAGUGGUACAAGCAAAUAAUCAAAACUUUUAACAACGGAUCUCUUGGUUCUGGCAUCGAUGAAGAACGCAGCGAAAUGCGAUAAGUAAUGUGAAUUGCAGAAUUCAGUGAAUCAUCGAAUCUUUGAACGCACAUUGCGCCCGCCAGCAUUCUGGCGGGCAUGCCUGUUCGAGCGUCAUUUCAACCCUCAAGCUCUGCUUGGUGUUGGGGCCCUACAGCUGAUGUAGGCCCUUAAAGGUAGUGGCGGACCCUCCCGGAGCCUCCUUUGCGUAGUAACUUUACGUCUCGCACUGGGAUCCGGAGGGACUCUUGCCGUAAAACCCCCCAAUUUUCCAAAGGUUGACCUCGGAUCAGGUAGGAAUACCCGCUGAACUUA
Molecule: ribosomal RNA, 554 nt
Filed under: Colletotrichum fructicola
Lineage: Eukaryota; Fungi; Ascomycota; Sordariomycetes; Glomerellales; Glomerellaceae
Description: eukaryotic LSU rRNA
Rfam family: 5.8S ribosomal RNA (bases 203-356)
Source: RNAcentral